GUACCCUACUCUUCCUCUGGCUCCCACUACUUAAAAAAUAGUUUGUACCUUCCUCUCUGAGAAGCAGCAUAACAUAGCUGAAAGAUCCCUGGUCUGGUUGUCUGGACACUGGGUUCUAAUUCUGACUCCGCCACUUGCCUACCUUCUCUAAGCCUCAGUUUCCUCAUCAGUAAAAUGGAGAAAAACAAGGAGCCACGAGGGGAAUCCUGUGAAGGUCACCUUUCCAGAGACACUUAGCCUGGUUAAAAGCAGAGCCAAUUGAACCGUGGGGUUUGGAUUGGCUGUCCUGGGAGCCUGUGAGGCUCAGAUCACCGACUGAGCCCUUGGAGACAGGGAGAAGAAGCGGAAGGUCGAAAAAUUAAAGAUCCCCUGGUCUGGAACUCCCUUCCCAGGGACUCCAUGGACAUAUCUCUCCCGGAAUGCCCCAAAUCC
Molecule: long non-coding RNA, 432 nt
Organism: Ornithorhynchus anatinus (platypus)
Lineage: Eukaryota; Metazoa; Chordata; Mammalia; Monotremata; Ornithorhynchidae
Exons: 3
Source: RefSeq, a predicted model, not a curated record